RNAcentral lists this unclassified non-coding RNA (319 nucleotides) under Hevea brasiliensis (rubber tree). Lineage: Eukaryota; Viridiplantae; Streptophyta; Magnoliopsida; Malpighiales; Euphorbiaceae. The record is from RNAcentral.
AUUUAAUCAAGCAUUUAUAUAAAUAAAUUUGGGUAACGGAUACUCAACAUGUAAAAUUUCGAAUCCGAUCCAAAUCUAUCACGGAUAUUAUUUUUCAAAUUCAAAAUCCAUUCCGUGCCCGAUUGUAUAAUGUCUAAAUCUAUCUUAUUAAAUUUUGAUCGGAUCAGAUACUCAUAAAAAUCAGACUCGUUUAUCAACCCUAGUUGUGAGACAAAUUUAAACAAUAAUUAUUCUUUUCUACCAAGAAAGAUGAGGGCGGAAUUAAAAUUCUUUAUGUUAAAAAUAAAUAAAUAAAAUCUUCAUAAAAAUAAAAAAAAAA